Molecule: long non-coding RNA, 908 nt
Organism: Helianthus annuus (common sunflower)
Lineage: Eukaryota; Viridiplantae; Streptophyta; Magnoliopsida; Asterales; Asteraceae
Exons: 2
Source: RefSeq, a predicted model, not a curated record
UAGAAAUCUACAUGUGGGGAUGGAAAUGGCGACACACACAUCUAGGAUGUGUGCGUGUGUCGUGAGAAGCCAAGGAAGAAGUGGAAGGAGAAAUUCCAAAAAUUGCAUGUAUGAUAUUUAUCAUCUUUUAAGCAUCAAGGUUAAAAGAGCUUAAAUGUGCAAAAGGAAUAAAAAUACAGCAAAAACCAACAUAAAUGUAAAGAAGAAGGAAUUGACGCAACUCGCCAAGCCCCGAUUCACAUCCAAACCACAAAAUAGCAAGAACAGAAGACUUGAUACGGGGUCGUGUCCACCAGACACGGGCCGUGUCCGAAGGUGGAUGCUGUGCAGAAGAAAAGACAACUGCAAAAGACAAAACUGGCAGUCGACACGGGGUCGUGCUAAGCCAACACGGGGCGUGGUCAACUCAAAGAUUUUCAUAAUCAGCGAUAGUACAGCAAGGACUUUGGCCACGGGCCUUGCCGUUGACACACGGGGUCGUGUUAGUACAAGAUCUGACAAACAGUUAAUGAGAAAGAAGGAGAGAAAUGACCACGGGGUCGUGCCAGGCGGGCACAGGCCGUGGUGGAGCUUCUGAUUUCAGCUAUAAAUAGAAGUGCUUGGUUCCACUUCAAACCAUCCCUUGGCAAACCACUUCUCUCUCACUUGCCACCAUUCCACCACCACUACAACACCAUCAUCCACCACCAUCAUCCAUUUUCCAUAUUUUAGAGUGUGUGUGUAGUCUCGGGAUCCAUGAUUGAUAGUACGAAUCUUUGUCAAACAAAGGCCAUGCUUGGCUAAAUUCUUACAUCACUUGGUGAAGACAUAUCUUUUAUGUAUUUCUUUUUUGAUUUUCAAUCUUUGGCAUCUUUUUAAUUGGGUAUGUAUUAAUUACUUUAAAAUGAAGCUUUGAGAUAUUUUUUUAA